GAUGAACGCUAGCGGCAGGCCUAAUACAUGCAAGUCGAGGGGCAGCGGGUGUAGCAAUACAUGCCGGCGACCGGCGCACGGGUGCGUAACGCGUAUGCAACUUACCUCUAACAGGGGAAUAGCCCCGAGAAAUCGGGAUUAAUACCUCAUAACAUUUAUCAUUCGCAUGUUUGAUAAAUUAAAGCUCCGGCGGUUAGAGAUGGGCAUGCGUGACAUUAGCUAGUUGGUGAGGUAACGGCUCACCAAGGCUACGAUGUCUAGGGGUUCUGAGAGGACAUUCCCCCACACUGGUACUGAGACACGGACCAGACUCCUACGGGAGGCAGCAGUAAGGAAUAUUGGGCAAUGGACGCAAGUCUGACCCAGCCAUGCCGCGUGCAGGAUGAAGGCCCUAUGGGUUGUAAACUGCUUUUUGUACGGGAAGAAACUUCCGCACGUGUGCGGAAUUGACGGUACCGUGCGAAUAAGCACCGGCUAACUCCGUGCCAGCAGCCGCGGUAA
RNAcentral lists this ribosomal RNA (501 nucleotides) under uncultured bacterium. RNAcentral describes it as "bacterial SSU rRNA". It matches the Rfam family "Bacterial small subunit ribosomal RNA", at positions 28 to 523 of the family's 1533-position model. The record is from RNAcentral.